UAUUUUAAUACCCAAAAUUUUGUUUUGUUUUGGGUACUGAGUGUGUGAAACAGUGAGAGAGUAGAGAGAGAAAUGCAUGAGAAUGCUUUGGGCCAUACAGCUGUGUGAUAUGAAAUCUAGGCAGAGAGUACAAGACCAAAGACUUGUCCACUCCACUUGAAAUGAAAGGACUUUCACUUUCUAACACAUCAGCUAACUUGUCCUUUGCUUUCUCUUGUCUUUUAAUGCAUUACAUUAACACCUAACCUCCCCUUCCCCUUCCCCAUCCCCUUCCUCUUUUCUUUAUAAAUCUCUCAACUUCUCGUUCUUGUUUCCAUGCUAACCAACAAUCUGUUUCUUUGCAGGGUAUUGAGCCAACAGCUUCAAAAUCCUCUAUCCCAAGACUUCUUAUUUGUUUUACUAUGGCUUUGAGAAGAGGGAGCUCUCUUCAGUCCAGUCCAAGGCAGCUUCUCGGUUGCUACUUAGCUGCUGACUCGUUGGCUCAAUAACUCAUCAACUGAUAUAAAUGUUUGGAUAAUGAUGUGUUUCUGAACCAACGAUGCAGGAGCCAAGUUCAGCCAUGGCUGUCACGUCUUGGACUGAAGGGAGCUCCCUCGCCAUCCACUACCUUGAAGGGAAAGGAGGAACUGAGGCUCACAGAUUCUGAGAUCAUGAAGAUGCAGCAGAUAAGAUGAGGGCUUUUUUCCACCAAGUUCUUAGACUCCCAAAUCACUAGAAAUCCGAAUAAAGAAAAGUUUUCUACAA
Cucurbita maxima (winter squash) is the source of this 744-nucleotide long non-coding RNA. RefSeq lists it as uncharacterized. The transcript is spliced from 2 exons. Lineage: Eukaryota; Viridiplantae; Streptophyta; Magnoliopsida; Cucurbitales; Cucurbitaceae. The record is from RefSeq and is a predicted model, not a curated record.